CACGAGCGCACCCUCGCCUUUAGUUGCCAGCAUGUUGGGGUGGGCACUCUAAAGGAACUGCCGGUGACAAGCCGGAGGAAGGUGGGGAUGACGUCAAGUCCUCAUGGCCCUUAUGUCCUGGGCUACACACGUGCUACAAUGGCGGUGACAGUGGGAAGCCAGGCAGCGAUGCCGAGCUGAUCUCCAAAAGCCGUCUCAGUUCGGAUUGCACUCUGCAACUCGGGUGCAUGAAGGUGGAAUCGCUAGUAAUCGUGGAUCAGCAUGCCACGGUGAAUACGUUCCCGGGCCUUGCACACACCGCCCGU
Molecule: ribosomal RNA, 305 nt
Filed under: uncultured Alphaproteobacteria bacterium
Lineage: Bacteria; Pseudomonadati; Pseudomonadota; Alphaproteobacteria
Description: bacterial SSU rRNA
Rfam family: Bacterial small subunit ribosomal RNA
Source: RNAcentral